AAGUUUUAAGUUAAAUUUAAACUAUUAGCCUUCAAAGUUAAAAUUGCCCUAAGUAAACUUUGU
This 63-nucleotide transfer RNA is filed under the name Pseudophacopteron aewagriini. RNAcentral describes it as "tRNA-Trp". The record is from RNAcentral. Lineage: Eukaryota; Metazoa; Arthropoda; Insecta; Hemiptera; Phacopteronidae.